GAUGAACGCUGGCGGCGUGCUUAACACAUGCAAGUCGAACGGAAAGGCCCUGCUUUUGUGGGGUGCUCGAGUGGCGAACGGGUGAGUAACACGUGAGUAACCUGCCCUUGACUUUGGGAUAACUUCAGGAAACUGGGGCUAAUACCUGAUAGGAGCUCCUGCUGCAUGGUGGGGGUUGGAAAGUUUCGGCGGUUGGGGAUGGACUCGCGGCUUAUCAGCUUGUUGGUGGGGUAGUGGCUUACCAAGGCUUUGACGGGUAGCCGGCCCGAGAGGGUGGCCGGCCACAUUGGGACUGAGAUAGGGCCCAGACUCCUACGUGAGGCAGCGGUGGGGAAUAUUGCACAAUGGGCGGAAGCCUGAGGCAGCAACGCCGCGUGCGGGAAGACGGCCUUCGGGUUGUAAACCGCUUUCGCCUGUGACGAAGCGUGAGUGACGGUAAUGGGUAAAGAAGCACCGGCUAACUACGUG
RNAcentral lists this ribosomal RNA (468 nucleotides) under uncultured bacterium. RNAcentral describes it as "partial 16S ribosomal RNA". It matches the Rfam family "Bacterial small subunit ribosomal RNA", at positions 28 to 507 of the family's 1533-position model. The record is from RNAcentral.